This 332-nucleotide ribosomal RNA is filed under the name uncultured Phaselicystis sp. RNAcentral's name for it is "bacterial SSU rRNA". It matches the Rfam family "Bacterial small subunit ribosomal RNA", at positions 568 to 898 of the family's 1533-position model. Lineage: Bacteria; Pseudomonadati; Myxococcota; Polyangiales; Phaselicystidaceae. The record is from RNAcentral.
CGUGUAGGCGGCGUGGCAAGUCGGGCGUGAAAGCCCACGGCUCAACCGUGGAAGAGCACUCGAAACUGCUGCGCUAGAGUUCUGGAGAGGAAGGCGGAAUGCUUGGUGUAGAGGUGAAAUUCGUAGAUAUCAAGCGGAACACCGGUGGCGAAGGCGGCCUUCUGGACAGUGACUGACGCUGAAACGCGAAAGCGUGGGGAGCAAACAGGAUUAGAUACCCUGGUAGUCCACGCCGUAAACGAUGGGUGCUAGGUGUCGCGGGCUUUGACCCUCGCGGUGCCGCAGCUAACGCGUUAAGCACCCCGCCUGGGGAGUACGGCCGCAAGGCUAAA